AACGAACGCUGGCGGCAUGCCUAACACAUGCAAGUCGAACGAGACCUUCGGGUCUAGUGGCGCCCGGGUGCGUAACGCGUGGGAACCUGCCCUUAGGUUCGGCAUAACUCCCCGAAAGGGGUGCUAAUACCGGAUAAUGUCUUCGGCCCAAAGAUUUAUCGCCUUUGGAUGGGCCCGCGUUGGAUUAGCUAGUUGGUAGGGUAAAAGCCUACCAAGGCGACGAUCCAUAGCUGGUCUGAGAGGAUGAUCAGCCACACUGGGACUGAGACACGGCCCAGACUCCUACGGGAGGCAGCAGUGGGGAAUAGUGGACAAUGGGCGAAAGCCUGAUCCAGCAAUGCCGCGUGAGUGAUGAAGGCCUUAGGGUGGUAAAGCUCUUUUACCCGGGAUGAUAAUGACAGUACCGGGAGAAUAAGCGCCGGCUAACUCCGUG
This 433-nucleotide ribosomal RNA is filed under the name uncultured bacterium. RNAcentral describes it as "partial 16S ribosomal RNA". It matches the Rfam family "Bacterial small subunit ribosomal RNA", at positions 29 to 507 of the family's 1533-position model. The record is from RNAcentral.